This 389-nucleotide unclassified non-coding RNA is filed under the name soil metagenome. RNAcentral's name for it is "partial contains 5.8S ribosomal RNA, internal transcribed spacer 2, and large subunit ribosomal RNA". The stretch from base 1 to 120 matches the Rfam family "5.8S ribosomal RNA", at positions 35 to 154 of the family's 154-position model. The record is from RNAcentral.
GAUGGAGAACGUAGCGAAAUGCGAUAAGUAAUGUGAAUUGCAGAAUUCAGUGAAUCAUCGAAUCUUUGAACGCACCUUGCGCUCCUUGGUAUUCCGAGGAGCAUGCCUGUUUGAGUGUCAUUAAAUUCUCAACCUUAUUGGCUUUUGCUGAUAAUGGCUUGGACUUGGGGGUCUUUUUGCUGGCUUUCAUUAGUCUGCUCCCCUUAAAUGUAUUAGCCGGUGCCCCGCAGUGGAACCGUCUAUUGGUGUGAUAAUUAUCUACGCCGUGGACGUCUGCUAUAAUGGGUUUGCGCUGCUUCUAACCGUCUCUCGGGACAACACAAAUGACAAUUUGACCUCAAAUCAGGUAGGACUACCCGCUGAACUUAAGCAUAUCAAUAAGCGGAGGA